UGCAAAUUUUGAGCAAUCGCGGUUAACUUCGGUUAGCUGAGGAAAGUCCACGCCCGCACGAGCUGCGAUGCUUGUAGUGAUCGUAUUCAGCCCAAUAAGCUGGAGGAUAAUAUAUUAGAUAUUAUUAUGGCGGAAAAAGCACUAAGGUCAUUUGACUAUGUGUGAAUAUCCUUGAAAGUGCCACAGUGACGUAGCAAGCUGGGAAACCAGCUUGGUGGAACGAGGUAAACCCUGCGAGCGGGCAACCCAAAUUUGGUAGGGGCGUCUUCGUCUAAGAAAUUGAACUAAAGGCGAGAUCAUGGAGACAUGAAGAUAGAUGGUUGCUGAAGGUAAUAGUUUGGCUAACUAUUGCUGGAACAGAACGUGGCUUAUAGAAGUUUGCAAAGC
This 387-nucleotide RNase P RNA is filed under the name Lactobacillus jensenii MD IIE-70(2). RNAcentral's name for it is "bacterial RNase P". It matches the Rfam family "Bacterial RNase P class B". Rfam says of the family: Ribonuclease P (RNase P) is a ubiquitous endoribonuclease, found in archaea, bacteria and eukarya as well as chloroplasts and mitochondria. Its best characterised activity is the generation of mature 5'-ends of tRNAs by cleaving the 5'-leader elements of precursor-tRNAs. Lineage: Bacteria; Bacillati; Bacillota; Bacilli; Lactobacillales; Lactobacillaceae. The record is from RNAcentral.